This 463-nucleotide ribosomal RNA is filed under the name uncultured bacterium. RNAcentral describes it as "partial 16S ribosomal RNA". It matches the Rfam family "Bacterial small subunit ribosomal RNA", at positions 28 to 507 of the family's 1533-position model. The record is from RNAcentral.
GAUGAACGCUGGCGGCGUGCUUAACACAUGCAAGUCGAACGGAAAGGCCCAAGCUUGCUUGGGUACUCGAGUGGCGAACGGGUGAGUAACACGUGGGUGAUCUGCCCUGCACUUCGGGAUAAGCCUGGGAAACUGGGUCUAAUACCGGAUAGGACCACUUCGUGGUUGUUGUGGUGGAAAGUUUUUUCGGGGUGGGGUGAGCUCGCGGCCUAUCAGCUUGGUGGUGGGGUAAUGGCCUACCAAGGCGUCGGCGGGUAGCCGGCCUGAGAGGGCGUACGGCAACAUUGCGACGGAGAGACGGAGCAGCCUCCUGCGGGAGGCAGUAGUGGGGAAUAUUGCACAAUGGGCGGAAGCCUGAUGCAGCGACGCGGCGGGGGGGAUGACGGCCUUCGGGUUGUAAACUCCUGUCUCCAAAGACGAAUGUAUGACGGUAUUUGGAGAAGAAGCACCGGCUAACUACGUG